This 910-nucleotide ribosomal RNA is filed under the name Godronia cassandrae. RNAcentral describes it as "LSU rRNA". It matches the Rfam family "Eukaryotic large subunit ribosomal RNA", at positions 38 to 965 of the family's 3401-position model. The record is from RNAcentral. Lineage: Eukaryota; Fungi; Ascomycota; Leotiomycetes; Helotiales; Godroniaceae.
GCAUAUCAAUAAGCGGAGGAAAAGAAACCAACAGGGAUUACCUCAGUAACGGCGAGUGAAGCGGUAACAGCUCAAAUUUGAAAUCUGGGUCUUUUAGGCUCCGAGUUGUAAUUUGUAGAAGAUGCUUCGGGUGUGGCCCCGGUCUAAGUUCCUUGGAACAGGACGUCAUAGAGGGUGAGAAUCCCGUAUGUGACUGGGUGCUUUCGCUCAUGUGAAGCUCUUUCGACGAGUCGAGUUGUUUGGGAAUGCAGCUCAAAAUGGGUGGUAUAUUUCAUCUAAAGCUAAAUAUUGGCCAGAGACCGAUAGCGCACAAGUAGAGUGAUCGAAAGAUGAAAAGCACUUUGGAAAGAGAGUUAAACAGUACGUGAAAUUGUUGAAAGGGAAGCGCUUGCAAUCAGACUUGCACGCCGUUAAUCAUCCAGGGUUCUCUCUGGUGCACUUAGCGGCGUUCAGGCCAGCAUCGGUUUUAGGGGUGGGAUAAAGGCCUUGGGAAUGUAGCUUCUUUCGGGAAGUGUUAUAGCCCUCGGUGCAAUGCCGCCUCCUGGGACCGAGGACCGCGCUUCGGCUAGGAUGCUGGCGUAAUGGUUGUAAGCGACCCGUCUUGAAACACGGACCAAGGAGUCUAACAUUUAUGCGAGUAUUUGGGUGUUAAACCCAUAUGCGGAAUGAAAGUGAACGGAGGUAGGAACCCUUAAGGGUGCACUAUCGACCGAUCCUGAUGUCUUCGGAUGGAUUUGAGUAAGAGCAUAACUGUUGGGACCCGAAAGAUGGUGAACUAUGCGUGAAUAGGGUGAAGCCAGAGGAAACUCUGGUGGAGGCUCGCAGCGGUUCUGACGUGCAAAUCGAUCGUCAAAUUUGCGUAUAGGGGCGAAAGACUAAUCGAACCAUCUAGUAGCUGGUUCCUGCCGAA